Molecule: ribosomal RNA, 120 nt
Filed under: Petromyzon marinus (sea lamprey)
Lineage: Eukaryota; Metazoa; Chordata; Hyperoartia; Petromyzontiformes; Petromyzontidae
Source: RNAcentral
GCCGAUGACAAAAUCACCUGGAAUCCGCCCAAUAUCAUCAGACAUCGGAAGCUAACCUGCAUUAAGCCUGGGUAGUGCUUGUAUGGGUGACCACCAUGCAUAAAACAGGUGUCGUAGGUU